AUCUGCUAGAGUUCACCAACACAAAAAUAAAAUAUUACCUUUGCUAUACCAGCAAGUUUUGAACCGUGGGAAGUUUUAUCUGACACACCGGUAACCAAACAUCUAUCUAUUGUAACACCAUAGGUGGAGGCAAGUACAAUCUAUAGAGUAUGAAUAGAGAAGGUAAACCUUAGUGUUAUUGCCACAACUUGAUCAUCUAACAAACAUGGAAGAUGGGUUGUACUACUGGUAAUCAUUUUAGAUCAUUCCAAUCCCUUUAUCCAUGGCAGGUAGCCCUACAAUACAGGACAUCGACAUUAUUACAAGUACAUUAAAUAUAUGUUAUAAUGUGUUCACUUUAUCUUUCUUAACUUGUAUCAUACUAUUUGUACAUAGUUUCUUACCUUGCUUUCCAUCCGCACUCGCACAUUUAGCAUCAUGUCUCGUGUUUCAGGCUGAUAUAAGUGAAAAAGCACAAGCGUCUUCAGUGUUUUGGAGCAGAGGCAAAUCAGACUUCCAAGCCCCAGGUAAUGUAUACAAUUAAGAUCACUGCAAAGUAAAAAUAAAAUAAAAUAAAGAGACAUGCCAUUUCAAUGCAAGACCUUUGCUUUUCGUACAUUCAGUUGAUGAUAAUUCAAGAUAUAUGUAUAAAUGCUUAAAUCAAGUCCCUAAGUGGUUAAACAAUCAUCCAUCAUACCAGGACAACAUGUCAAUUGGGUACCAGUCAUGUGGCCUGGAAGUUCAAAGGGCACCAAAAUUCCAAAACCAAAGUACUUUUAGAUCAGAGAAUAAGGCCAUAAAUAGAAUGUCAAGGAACUGGCUACAGAUAUAAGGUCUGAAGAAAUAGCGACAAAUUAUUCCUUGUUUCUCAUUGUUUUCUUAAACCUUAUCACUUUGCAGAGGCACAUGUCUAGUCACCAGGUGAGAUUCUAAAAUCAUCAUCUAUCAUGUGUGGGCAACCUGAGCAAGUUCUCACUAUAAAAAAGGUAAAAAAAAAAAGAAAAAAAGAAAGACAACUAAAGUAUUAAAUUAUGCUUUUUUAAGCAUUUAUACAUUGUAAACGAGUUUUAUCUGACCCAUCAGUAGAAAAAAAUCAGUCUUUCUAUACAAUAGAGGGCCAAAUUUAACAAUUAUGAAGUGGAUAAUGAAAUCCAAGUGAUUAUCACAACUUGGAUACUUCCUAGAACUCGUGGAAGUUGGGUACUUCCUGUCCCAUAUGUUUAAAAACAUAACACUUUAUCCAUACGUCGGGUUUCCUAAACUCUUAAUAGUCAAAUGUAAGGCAAUCCCUAACAAUUAAUUUCAAAUUGAAAGUCACAGAAGCACAACCACAUGGUUUAGGGAAACAUAUUUACAGGCUACAUUAUGGUGAGAAGAGAAGACUUCAUUACCUUGUCGAUUUAUCAAAGAAGUAUAAUUAUCACUAGGUUCCUCUGCAACUAGACUUCAUUACCUUGUUGUUAUGACUCUUUUCAUCAAUUCUUCCAUUCACUCCCCCAUCCAGCUUCCUUUCUACUCUUGUUUUGGAAAAAGAAACCAUACUAAAACAAGGAGAGUCUUUAACUCAUAUCUAAAAUAAAACCUUCGGAUAUAAACCAACUACAAGAAGACAAAGGGAUCAAUAAACUUAGGGCAGAAUGCAGAUAUAACCAUAUUUUCGAAAAAUUCAACAACAAACUUGAAUUUUGCUUUCAAAAUUGAACAUACACUGCAUGUCUCCGUGUUUAGGGCUGCUAUCACUGAAAAAGGACAGGCGUCUUCAGUGUUUUGGAGCACCAGCUAGUCAAACUUCCAAUCCCCUGAUGAUGUAUACAACUAAGUUCACUGCCAAAACAUGCCGUUUCAGUGUAGAACAUUCUCUUUCUAUACAAGUAGUUGAUGCCGAUUUAAGUAAAACAAUUAUGUCCUUCAUCAUUGUGAUUAACAUACACAGAAAGACUGGUUUCCUCCAUCCAAACGUAAGCAUCUAUUAUUGUACCAACUAAUAACAGAAACAACAGGAAGAAUUCCGCAAAUGAAGGCACUGAAACUCCCAAACAGAAAUUAUGCUUUCAAUUCUUCAGCCUUUUUGAACUGAGACUCACAAAUCCAGGAUUAGGCUUUCGAAACCUGGAGCUUUAGUGGUAAUAUACUAAUAUCUGAGACACCAAACUUUCAAACAAUUAAGGUGCAAAUUCUGAAAUUUCAGACUUAAAACAUGACACUUUUUAAUUUUGGUAAG
Molecule: long non-coding RNA, 2200 nt
Filed under: Aquilegia coerulea
Lineage: Eukaryota; Viridiplantae; Streptophyta; Magnoliopsida; Ranunculales; Ranunculaceae
Description: long non-coding RNA (ACOE_LNC001563)
Source: RNAcentral